This 529-nucleotide long non-coding RNA is filed under the name Physcomitrium patens. RNAcentral's name for it is "long non-coding RNA (PPAT_LNC011283)". The record is from RNAcentral. Lineage: Eukaryota; Viridiplantae; Streptophyta; Bryopsida; Funariales; Funariaceae.
AGGAUUUGAUUUAGGAUUUAGAAUAUUUUUAAGAUUUGAUUUAGGAUUUAGAAUUUUCUUAGGAUUUGAUUUAGGAUUUAGGAUUUUUUUAGAAUUUUAUUUAGAGAUUAGAGUUUAUUUAGGAUUUGGUCUUGGAUUUAGGGUUCGUCUAGGAUUUAGUUAAGGAUUUAAGAUUUGUCUAGAAUUUAGUUUAAGGUGUAGGGUUUAUCGAAAGUUUGAUUGAAUUCUAUUAAAGUUUUAAUGAAGCUUAAAUUAAAAAUUGAUUGAGAUUUAUUUAAGAUAUAUUUGUGAUUAUUCUAAUAUUUUUUAGGAUUUCUCAAGGAUUCUUUUAAGAUUUAUUAUAAAUUUUCUUUCAAUUCCUUUAAGAUUUCUUAUUAUUUUUCUUGUAAUUCUUUUAAGGUUUCUUUUAAAUUGGAUUAAAGCUUAUUUAAUAUUAUUAAGGUUUAAUUAAAAUUUAUUUAAUAUUCUAUUAAAAUCAAGAUUUUAUUGUAGCUAUUUCUAUUCUAGUUUCUACAACAAGUGCCUGAUG